Ascodesmis nigricans is the source of this 91-nucleotide non-coding RNA. The record is from the annotation of a GenBank genome assembly. NCBI's taxonomy places the organism in Eukaryota, Fungi, Ascomycota, Pezizomycetes, Pezizales, Ascodesmidaceae.
GCCCUGCUGGCGCAAUGGUAGCGCGUUGGACUUCUAUGAAUCGCACCUUCAAGCGAUCCAAAGGUUGCCGGUUCGAGUCCGGCGUAGGGCU